AGAUAUUGUUAGCCGAAGGCCGGAGGAUAGAACGUUGACUAAAGAUAUAAAGCCAUUCAGCCAUGGGAUAAUAUUUCUUCCACCUGUGUGGGGCCGAGUAAAGAACCAUCAACAGGACCGUCAUGUGCAUCUAGAAAAUUUGCAUCGGGUGCUGUAUCUUUCUCUUCUGGUCCCCGAGCAUCGUUGGAUACUUGCUGUAAUAUAAAGUUUCAUGAGAAGGAGAUCAAGCAAUUGUAGCCGUUAAGAUAAGAUUCAACGACGCUUGUGAUAACCAGCCUGGAUAGGAGAUACGAUGCUGGGCUCUGGGAUAAUAACGCUCUUGGCAAAUCUAACGGAUGAUGAAAUUCCACCAACAGCAGUACUCGCUUCUUUAGGGCGUGUAUAAUGGUAAUACUUGGCCUCCUGAGCAACUGGGAAGAAUGGAAACAGUGAGCUGGUAGAAACAAUCUGAGAGUGCACCAUGCACAGUAUCAGCAUCAUACCGGCUGGAAUCAGGACUUCAAAGGCUGAUACAAUCUGAAAAUGAUUAGGUAUGAAAUCGGAUGCAGUAAAGGAGUAAGAAGAGUAAAAAUAUUCGUGGACUGGUCUGCUGCACCCACCAAGAUUUGUGCAAUGGGAGGAACAGGAGCCUUUGGACAGCCAGAUAAGCAACAGUGCAUAAUCCGUGUUCGGGUUUUGCUUUGGGAAACGACGACCCUAAGAAAUCAGAAUCAGUGGAAAAUGAAUAAUUUUCACAUUUAUGACAAGGGUCAUACGAUUACUUGCCUCUCACUAGAUCAACAUCUAUCAAGUUCGUCUUGAAGUUUGCUCUGGCGACAGGAAUCCAUAUAAAAUGGUUUAUGAAUCGCUGCUCCAAGGUUUUCUCCCACUGCUGUUUAUCAUAAGUUCCAAUUUUUUUCUGAUACCUAAAAUUUGCAGAGACAAACUAUGAAAUAAAUUUAGAUGUCAGUUUGUAGCUGUCAAGGGCUUACAAAAUUUCAAAGAACUAAUGUGAGUACAAGUUGCUGUUAUUCAAAUAAUGAAAAGUACAUAACGAAAUUGGUACUAACCAGAACAUAAGAUCGUUGAGGCCCAUAAUGCAGAAAUUCAGCGAUGCUUUACGUUUAAGACAAACAGCAGAACCUGUCAAUUCGACCUCUGACAGUUUAUUUAAUAUAUGCAUUUCUGCUGUAUGAGCUUGAGUGCUCGUUUUUUAGCUAUACGUAUCCCACUCAUUAUUCACAGGAACACAGGUUUUCUAAUCAGUGAUAUGACCAGCUGCGACCACUGAAUGUGGUGAGGAUAAUACAUGAACAAACUUGAAGAUGUUCAGUACAUAAUCGCAAGUUUUUUCGUACCCGACAUAAAUAAAUGUACGGAAGAUUAAGUUAAGCAACAGUGGUACGUACGUAGUACGUAAAUUAACACUUAUUACCGAGAAGUCGCUUGCGAUUUUUCCCUGUCCUGUGGCUAGGCGUUAAAUAACGUAAAAUGACGAAUACUGCGAUAAGUACGCGUUGACGGUUAAAACUUUCGUCGUUUCGUGUUUGUCAAUUUAUUUAUUUAAUUAUUCAUUCGAAAAGAAGAGAUGUCACUUCAUAUGUAUACAAUACGCCGUGUUCCCGUAUAACGUACAUAUAUGUGUAGAUACAUCGCAAUUCGACAGCUGUUUCAACCCUGCACCUGUAAGUCUCCUCACACCAUUAAACAUAGAACCGACCUACAUAGGUCCGGAUAAUCGCAGUACGCACGCCUAUAAUAGUCGAUAUGACGUGUGUCCCGGCCCGUGUGUCGUCGGCAGGUUCAAAAACACUGGUGUCAAAUUGGCGUCACGCAAAAACCGACGAAGCAGACGAAGGCACAUAUUCGAUCGAGAAAAGACUCACCGCUGCUGCCACCUGCUUUAAGCUCAUAGAAACAACCGAGUGAAGCAUCUUUUUAUUUUGCAUAGGCAUAAAGUAUUCAAUACUCGUUGCAUCUUAUUUAUUAAGCCCGAGUAAUACGGUUUCGGCUAUUGUAUGUUUCAGUCAUGUUCAUCCCAGUUAUUGACGAUCUGGAAUGGAUGUGGUGAAUAAUUGAUGAAUUUUUUUUUUUUCGAUUGAAAUGUACAAGAUAUAGACUUUGCUUUAUUGACGGUCUUAAGUGUAUAUAAAAACUACUGCAGUAUAUUGGUCAUUCGCUGAGGUUAUUUCUCGAAAUUACCAUCUCGUUCUGUUUCUGACCUGACAAGGUCUAAUAUAGAAUAUAUACGCCUGUAUAAUAAAACACAAUGAUUGUAAUUAAUAUCAUAAUAUUGACUAAUAUAAAUAUUAAAUUGUCUAUUGUAAAUAAUUAAACACAAACGCAGUUGUAUAUUAUACGCGGAUGUAAGACGUGUAUCAAAGACGGAAAGGCAAUAACAAUGAUAAUAUUAACAGUCAUAAUAAUUUAUCAUUCAAAUUUCUAUGGCACAUAUAUGUGUAAGUGUGUAAUUAACGUUUUGAAAAUAUCAUGUCUCGUUCAAAUCGGUGAGACGUCCACGUUAUCUGAAAUGUGUUUGUAUCAUCCAAUACGUAUAUGUUAAUUCUGUCUACGUGUUUAUUUUGUAUUACGUUAUGCGAAGAAAAACAAUUAAUCAACGUUCGACGCAAUUAUUAUCAUCACCUUCAUAUGCAUGUAUGUAUAAUGUGUGUAUAUACUUCUUACCACAUCGUAUUGAAUUAAAAUUAAAUUAUUACGUAAAAAUCGAACCCGUACAUUUCAUGGUUUACGAAAUAAUAUUAUACAGAACUCAAUAUAGGUAUCUUAUUUCGCGACGAUUUUUUAAAUACGCUUGUACACACGCACUUUGCAGAUUUCUUAUUGUAUUACAGCAAUCACACUCUUAUGGACAGGCGUACUAUGCUUCGAUCAGAUUCGAGGAAUUUAAUAAUGAAAGGAAAAGAACGGGAGCAAAAGCUGUAUAAAAACAUA
Long non-coding RNA from Neodiprion virginianus, 2931 nucleotides. RefSeq lists it as uncharacterized. The record is from RefSeq and is a predicted model, not a curated record. Lineage: Eukaryota; Metazoa; Arthropoda; Insecta; Hymenoptera; Diprionidae. The transcript is spliced from 4 exons.